Molecule: ribosomal RNA, 824 nt
Filed under: Listeria monocytogenes
Lineage: Bacteria; Bacillati; Bacillota; Bacilli; Caryophanales; Listeriaceae
Description: partial 23S ribosomal RNA
Rfam family: Bacterial large subunit ribosomal RNA
Source: RNAcentral
GUCGUAGACCCGAAACCAGGUGAUCUACCCAUGUCCAGGAUGAAGGUAAGGUAAUACUUACUGGAGGUCCGAACCCACGCACGUUGAAAAGUGCGGGGAUGAGGUGUGGGUAGCGGAGAAAUUCCAAUCGAACUUGGAGAUAGCUGGUUCUCUCCGAAAUAGCUUUAGGGCUAGCCUCGAGGUAAAGAGUCAUGGAGGUAGAGCACUGUUUGGACUAGGGGCCCUUCUCGGGUUACCGAAUUCAGAUAAACUCCGAAUGCCAUGUACUUAUACUCGGGAGUCAGACUGCGAGUGAUAAGAUCCGUAGUCGAAAGGGAAACAGCCCAGACCACCAGUUAAGGUCCCCAAAUAUAUGUUAAGUGGAAAAGGAUGUGGGGUUGCUUAGACAACCAGGAUGUUGGCUUAGAAGCAGCCACCAUUGAAAGAGUGCGUAAUAGCUCACUGGUCGAGUGACCCCGCGCCGAAAAUGUACCGGGGCUAAACAUAUUACCGAAACUGUGGAUGAACCUCUUUAGAGGUUCGUGGUAGGAGAGCGUUCUAAGGGCGGUGAAGUCAGACCGGAAGGACUGGUGGAGCGCUUAGAAGUGAGAAUGCCGGUAUGAGUAGCGAAAGAAGGGUGAGAAUCCCUUCCACCGAAUAUCUAAGGUUUCCUGAGGAAGGCUCGUCCGCUCAGGGUUAGUCGGGACCUAAGCCGAGGCCGAUAGGCGUAGGCGAUGGACAACAGGUAGAGAUUCCUGUACCAGUGCUAAUUGUUUAACCGAUGGGGUGACACAGAAGGAUAGGGAAUCGCACGAAUGGAAAUGUGCGUCCAAGCAGUGAGUGUG